GGGCAAGCAUUCGUGUAGUGUCCAAGCUGACCACACUUGAAGUAGGUAUUUCUAGUGGGGGUGGGGUUGGCAUUGGGCUUUGCUGGGACAGUGUUGGAGUUCUGGCGAGAGCCUGAUGGUGCUGGGGCAUUCUGACGAGGCGCUGUUGACACCAGAAGUGGCAAACGGUUAUACCGCAAGCGUACGGUAGUCAAUGUAGCCUUCACCGGGAGUAUUCCAGGUAUCGUGAUCUCCACGGGGAACGCGAAGUGAAUUAACUAGGCUUUAGAUCGUUAGGUGAUGAUCAAAGGGUCUAGGAUAAUGGGGUAGAGAGGUCUAACUAGUAUUAAUGCCUGGUCU
RNAcentral lists this long non-coding RNA (339 nucleotides) under Sorghum bicolor (sorghum). RNAcentral describes it as "long non-coding RNA (SBIC_LNC004938)". Lineage: Eukaryota; Viridiplantae; Streptophyta; Magnoliopsida; Poales; Poaceae. The record is from RNAcentral.